GACGGGUGAGUAACGCGUGAGUAACCUGCCUUACGCAAGGGGAUAGCCGUUGGAAACGACGAAUAAUACCCUAUGAAACUAUCACUUCGCAUGAAGCGAUAGUCAAAGUGUUAGCGGUGUAAGAUGGACUUGCGUCUGAUUAGCUAGUUGGUGAGAAAAAGACCCACCAAGGCAACGAUCAGUAGCCGGCUUGAGAGAGUGUACGGCCACAUUGGGACUGAGACACGGCCCAG
Molecule: ribosomal RNA, 233 nt
Filed under: uncultured Eubacteriales bacterium
Lineage: Bacteria; Bacillati; Bacillota; Clostridia; Eubacteriales
Description: uncultured Clostridiales bacterium partial 16S ribosomal RNA
Rfam family: Bacterial small subunit ribosomal RNA
Source: RNAcentral